CCGAGCUGCGUUCUUCUUGUUCUUCGUAAUCAAACGAGGAUUUGAAGGUGUUAUUGGAAUCCGAUGGAGGUGUAUGAAUAGUCAAAACGAAGCUAUCGACGCGUAGAAACUAUUACUAUCAGUGGUUUCAGUGCAGAAUCGACAGGUUUUUGCUAAUUAAGAAAGGCUUAAAGAUGAGAUGAUGGAUUGAGAUUGUGAAUAAGGCUAAUGCUAGGCGAGGAGACAGAGUUGAGGAUCCAGUGGUCGAGGAGUGUUCAGGAAAGUUGAUGAGGUUGGUGCAAGCGAGAGCUGUGCUAUAGGAAUUCAAGUGUAAGUCAUAGCUGGAAUAGUUGACAGUGAUUCUUCUUAUCGAAGAUGAUCUGAUUUGGUAAGAGAUGUUGUGUAAUAAUAGUGGUAGAUUCUAAUUUCAAUACUGUAACCUGGAUGCGAUCCUGUUGCUUUUAGGGGGUUUAAAUGUUCUCUUUCGAAUCAUUUAUUACAGUUCAAAUGUUC
This is a long non-coding RNA of Daucus carota subsp. sativus, 492 nucleotides long. RefSeq lists it as uncharacterized. The transcript is spliced from 2 exons. The record is from RefSeq and is a predicted model, not a curated record. Lineage: Eukaryota; Viridiplantae; Streptophyta; Magnoliopsida; Apiales; Apiaceae.